This 235-nucleotide long non-coding RNA is filed under the name Elaeis guineensis (African oil palm). Its description in RNAcentral is "long non-coding RNA (EGUI_LNC010987)". The record is from RNAcentral. Lineage: Eukaryota; Viridiplantae; Streptophyta; Magnoliopsida; Arecales; Arecaceae.
UGGGCCUUGAUUGCUUCAUGCCAUCUGCCACUGUGAAGUUGGAGCAGCUGAAUUAAUUUGUCAGCCUUUUACCUGCACUCUUGCUUUUGUUGGUUGAAGAGGAGAUUUUUGGCCGAGACUUUAAAAGCAUUGUGCUUUUACUUCUGUCAGCCUUCUCUCCACUUCACGGGUUUCAAUCUUGUGCAUUCUCCCACCCAAUUUUAACAGAUUUUUGGCUCUUUCUUGGAACGCUGUC